Vicia villosa (hairy vetch) is the source of this 741-nucleotide long non-coding RNA. RefSeq lists it as uncharacterized. The transcript has 3 exons. The record is from RefSeq and is a predicted model, not a curated record. NCBI's taxonomy places the organism in Eukaryota, Viridiplantae, Streptophyta, Magnoliopsida, Fabales, Fabaceae.
UCCUCUGUUCUUCAAAAACCCUAGCUCCGCCGCCACCCCAUACCCCCUAUUUGUGACCACCACCACCUUCAAUGAAAAAUCAAUACUCCCUCCAGUCUUACUUAUAAGCAAAAAUUGUUUUUUUAGGUUCAUUAAUUAAUGAAUGUAUUUGGUCUACAUAAUAAAUCAAAUACAUUUAUUACUCAAUGAACCUAAAAAAAAAAUUUUGCUUAAAAUAUGGCCGGAGUAGUACCAAAUACGUAUUCCCUGUCUGAUGUUUUUUGCGGCCACAGGGAGAAAUUGCUUAGGAUUUUUCUACCAAGAACAUGUUGAAGACAUGUAAAAUUCUAAACAAAUCCUAGAAAGAAGGAGUAGAAGUUCAGAUUUGUAAGAAGCAUCAAACUCUUUGUUCUCCUUUCUGAUUUGUAAGAAGCACCACACCAUUUGUAAUAAGAUUCUUCUGUUCUUUUCGGUUUGUAACCAAACUUCUAUUCUUGUGUGUUUGUAAUAAGCUUCUUCUCUCCUUUUACUACAUUUUUGGUUUAUCUCUUUUAAUACAUUUUUCGAUUUGAAGUGUUAAAUGUAUUGAAUGGAUAAAUGCCGAAGCCAGGAAGGGAGCAAAUCUUGGAUGCAAAUCUUGGGUGAUGGGAUAGAUUAUAUAUUAGUUAUGAAACAAAUUCAAAGUUGAGAUAAGUUGUGUUGUUGUAAGAGCAAGCAAAUAAUGAGAAUGUUCCUUUUAUUUUGCUGUAAUUUUUUUUUUUG